UGAGGAAUAUUGGUCAAUGGGCGAGAGCCUGAACCAGCCAAGUAGCGUGAAGGAUGAAGGUCCUACGGAUUGUAAACUUCUUUUAUACGGGAAUAAAGUAUCCUACGUGUAGGAUUUUGUAUGUACCGUAUGAAUAAGCAUCGGCUAACUCCGUGCCAGCAGCCGCGGUAAUACGGAGGAUGCGAGCGUUAUCCGGAUUUAUUGGGUUUAAAGGGAGCGCAGACGGGAGAUUAAGUCAGUUGUGAAAGUUUGCGGCUCAACCGUAAAAUUGCAGUUGAUACUGGUUUCCUUGAGUGCAGUUGAGGCAGGCGGAAUUCGUGGUGUAGCGGUGAAAUGCUUAGAUAUCACGAAGAACCCCGAUUGCGAAGGCAGCUUGCUAAACUGUAACUGACGUUCAUGCUCGAAAGUGUGGGUAUCAAACA
Molecule: ribosomal RNA, 422 nt
Filed under: uncultured bacterium
Lineage: Bacteria
Also listed under: 1 other name
Description: bacterial SSU rRNA
Rfam family: Bacterial small subunit ribosomal RNA
Source: RNAcentral